RNAcentral lists this ribosomal RNA (555 nucleotides) under uncultured bacterium. RNAcentral describes it as "bacterial SSU rRNA". It matches the Rfam family "Bacterial small subunit ribosomal RNA", at positions 374 to 945 of the family's 1533-position model. The record is from RNAcentral.
GGCGAAAGCCUGAUGCAGCGACUCGCUGAAGGAUGACGNCUUCGGGUGUAAACUUCUUUCAGCAGGACGAAAGCGUGAGUGACGGUACNUGCAGAGAAAGCACCGGCUAANUACGUGCCAGCAGCCGCGGUAAUACGUAGGGUGCGAGCGUGUCNNGGAAUUAUUGGGCGUAAAGAGCUCGUAGCGGGUUGUGNCGUCGGCUGUGAAAACUUCACGCUUAACGUGGAGCCUGCAGUCGAUACGGGCAGACUGAGUUUCGGCAGGGGAGACUGGAAUUCCUGGUGUAGCGGUGAAAUGCGCAGAUAUCAGGAGGAACACCGGUGGCGAAGGCGGGUCUCUGGGCCGAUACUGACGCUGAGGAGCGAAAGCGUGGGGAGCGAACAGGAUUAGAUACCCUGGUAGUCCACGCCGUAAACGGUGGGUGCUAGGUGUGGGGGACUUCCACGUCCUCCGUGCCGCAGCUAACGCAUUAAGCACCCCGCCUGGGGAGUACGGCCGCAAGGCUAAAACUCAAAGGAAUUGACGGGGGCCCGCACAAGCGGCGGAGCAUGUGGA